UACGGGGGGGGCAAGCGUUGUUCGGAAUUAUUGGGCGUAAAGGGCUCGUAGGCGGUUUGUCGCGUCGGGAGUGAAAAUCCAGGGCUUAACUCUGGACUGGCUUCCGAUACGGGCAGACUAGAGGUAUGCAGGGGAGAACGGAAUUCCUGGUGUAGCGGUGAAAUGCGCAGAUAUCAGGAGGAACACCGGUGGCGAAGGCGGUUCUCUGGGCAUUACCUGACGCUGAGGAGCGAAAGUGUGGGGAGCGAACAGG
RNAcentral lists this ribosomal RNA (253 nucleotides) under uncultured bacterium. RNAcentral describes it as "partial 16S ribosomal RNA". It matches the Rfam family "Bacterial small subunit ribosomal RNA", at positions 524 to 776 of the family's 1533-position model. The record is from RNAcentral.